RNAcentral lists this ribosomal RNA (446 nucleotides) under Volvatella ventricosa. RNAcentral describes it as "partial 16S ribosomal RNA". It matches the Rfam family "Bacterial large subunit ribosomal RNA", at positions 1829 to 2595 of the family's 2925-position model. Lineage: Eukaryota; Metazoa; Mollusca; Gastropoda; Volvatellidae. The record is from RNAcentral.
AGUCUAAAGAUUUUUUAUUUUAGAUAAGACCUGCCCAGUGCUGAUUUAUUUAGGUAAAUGGCCGCAGUACCCUGACUGUGCUAAGGUAGCGUAAUCAGUUGGCUUUUAAUUGAAGUCGUGUAUGAAUGGAUUUAUGGGGCUAAGCUGUCUCAUCAAGGUUUAAUUGAAUUUAAUUAAAGGGUGAAAAUACCCUUGAGUUAGAUAAAGGACGAUAAGACCCUUGGAGUUUUUAUUAAAAGUUAUACAUUAAUGUAACUUUGUGUUUUUGCUGGGGCGGCAGAGGGGGAGUUAUCCCCCUUGUUCUAAUUAGCCGACAUUUGUAUGUACAGUAAAACUACCCGAGGGAUAACAGCAUUAUUCUUUAAAGAGUUUGUGACCUCGAUGUUGGACUAGGAGUUUGCUAGACUAGCCGUUUAGUUUUAUUGUUCUGUUCGAACUAUUUUUCC